Molecule: non-coding RNA, 1264 nt
Organism: Phascolarctos cinereus (koala)
Lineage: Eukaryota; Metazoa; Chordata; Mammalia; Diprotodontia; Phascolarctidae
Source: RefSeq, a predicted model, not a curated record
UUUUUGGGGGGGGGGGUGGAACUUGAUGACUAGGAAAUGCUGCUUUGCUGAUUGGUUGAAGAAAGUCUGGAACUCCUCAUGCUGGAAACUCAUUGGCUGAGAACUGAAUCCUGCGUCGGUGUGAAAGGCUAUUGAGAUUGUUGCAUUCUCACUCUCUGGUUCCCUGCAGUCGGCGAGAAAGGAAACAUCUCAGGGAUGCCAGUGUUUUCUUCCACUGUUCUCAAGGUUGAGAGGGGGAAAGACGAGUUUUACAUCUGUUUUGCUGGGGGCUCUAAGCCAGAAGAGGCUUAGGGAUAAUAAGGCAAAGUAAAAUCCACUAUUUCCAGAGCGGAGUGGGGCUUGGCAGUUCUUUGACUCAAGGGAACUAAUUACUUGUCACUUAAGAUUGUAACUUUGUUUCAGCACCCUUUUGCCAGUGGCUAGGAGCAAAAUGUUAGCCACCGCUUCAUCGGCUGGAGAGCAGAGAAGAGCGGCCUUCCCGACAGGAGAGUGAUGAGGACUAAAUAGGGAGCAGCUAGGAGAAAAGAGACAGCAAAGCUUGCAGUCUAGAGUUGUGAAUUGCUUCCCUAAAAUGCUGCUGCCCUGGGAAGGUGGGUUUCCCCAUCUGUGUACCUCCAACUGGUUUUCUAAAAAUAUAUGCCAAUUUCCCCCAUGGACGCUCCUAUUUUAGUGGGAUAAGGCAGCAAAAAUCAUGCUUCCUAACUGCCCUUCUCUUCACAGUCCAGUAUUUGGCAUGUAAUUGAAACUUAAUAAAUUGUUAAUGGACAGUGGCUCCUCAAAAUGGAAUUGGAAUCAGGAACUGAGGGGAGAAGAUGGAAGCUUUCUUUCUUUUUACUUUGUGAUGUGAUCUGCUAUGACAGCUGGUGGUACCCACUGUUAGAGCAACAGCUGGGAAUGGUCAUGUAAUGUUUUCUGGGCCAUGUAACCUAGGCCAGAAAUCUGUGUCCAUCAGCCAUCAGUCACCUCCUUAGGAGACUACAUGGGAAAUGAGUUAAGUAGCCAGAGGAUUCCCCCAGGCCCCAGAUUUUGAAAUUGAACUCUGCUUGCUUAUAUGAGCCUAGUGUCCAUUUGCUGGAUUUUAUUAACCUCCACUUUACUUGAUUUCACAAACCCCGUAGGUAAUUGGGAUAUGUUCUCGUCCAAUCAGAGUUUUCAUUGCCUUUUCAAAAUCAGCAUCCCUCACAUAAUAAGAAAUUGCAGAGCUUUCUCUCUCUCUCUCUCUCUCUCUCUCUCUCUCUCUCUCUCUCUCUCUGUCUCUGUCUCU